UACGUAUGGUGCAAGCGUUAUCCGGAUUUACUGGGUGUAAAGGGAGCGCAGGCGGCAUGGCAAGUCCGAUGUGAAAACCCGGGGCUCAACCCCGGGACUGCAUUGGAAACUGUCAGGCUAGAGUGUCGGAGAGGUAAGUGGAAUUCCUAGUGUAGCGGUGAAAUGCGUAGAUAUUAGGAGGAACACCAGUGGCGAAGGCGGCUUACUGGACGACAACUGACGCUGAGGCUCGAAAGCGUGGGGAGCAAACAGG
Molecule: ribosomal RNA, 253 nt
Filed under: uncultured bacterium
Lineage: Bacteria
Description: partial 16S ribosomal RNA
Rfam family: Bacterial small subunit ribosomal RNA
Source: RNAcentral